Molecule: ribosomal RNA, 215 nt
Filed under: Clostridioides difficile
Lineage: Bacteria; Bacillati; Bacillota; Clostridia; Peptostreptococcales; Peptostreptococcaceae
Description: partial 23S ribosomal RNA
Rfam family: Bacterial large subunit ribosomal RNA
Source: RNAcentral
UAGUACUGGGACUCUAACCAUAGGCCAUGAAUCUGGUCUUGGGACACUGUCAGGUGGGCAGUUUGACUGGGGCGGUCGCCUCCCAAACGGUAACGGAGGCGCUCAAAGGUUCUCUCAGUACGGUCGGCAAUCGUACGUAGAGUGUAAAGGCAAAAGAGAGCUUGAUUGCAAGACAUACAGGUCGAGCAAGGAUGAAAAUCGGACUUAGUGAUCCG